This 546-nucleotide ribosomal RNA is filed under the name uncultured archaeon. RNAcentral describes it as "bacterial SSU rRNA". It matches the Rfam family "Archaeal small subunit ribosomal RNA", at positions 339 to 886 of the family's 1478-position model. The record is from RNAcentral.
UCGCGAAAACUUUGCAAUACACGAAAGUGUGACAGGGUCAUCCCGAGUGCCGACCGCUGAGGUUGGCUUUUACCCAGUCUAGAAAGCUGGGGGAAUAAGGAGAGGGCAAGUCUGGUGUCAGCCGCCGCGGUAAUACCAGCUCUCCGAGUGGUGUGGACGUUUAUUGGGCCUAAAGCAUCCGUAGCUGGCUGAACAAGUCCCCUGUUAAACCCACCGAUUUAAUCGUUGGUCUGCGGGGGAUACUGCUCGGCUAGGGGACGAGAGAGGCAGACGGUAUUCCCGGGGUAGGGGUGAAAUCCUAUAAUCCCGAGAAGACCACCAGUGGCGAAGGCUGUCUGCUAGAACGCGCCCGACGGUGAGGGAUGAAAGCUGGGGGAGCGAACCGGAUUAGAUACCCGGGUAGUCCCAGCUGUAAACGAUGUGCGUUAGGUGUAUCGGUGACCACGAGUCACCGAGGUGCCGAAGAGAAAUCGUGAAACGUACCGCCUGGGAAGUACGGUCGCAAGGCUGAAACUUAAAGGAAUUGGCGGGGGAGCACCGACAACG